RNAcentral lists this unclassified non-coding RNA (250 nucleotides) under plant metagenome. RNAcentral's name for it is "partial contains small subunit ribosomal RNA, internal transcribed spacer 1, and 5.8S ribosomal RNA". The record is from RNAcentral.
GUAGGUGAACCUGCGGAAGGAUCAUUAUUGAAUAUUCUUGAUGGGUUGUAGCUGGCUCUUUGGGGCAUGUGCACGCCUGUCUUGACUCUAUUCAUCCACCUGUGCACCUUUUGUAGUCUUGGGGGUUGAGAGCAGUCAACUAUCGGACGGCUAUGUGGCCUUUCCGGAUGUGAGGAUCGCUGAGUGCGAAAGCAUACAGCUCUUCUCAAAGUGACUUGUAAACCUCUCCUUCGAGCACUAUGUUUUCAUA